RNAcentral lists this ribosomal RNA (951 nucleotides) under uncultured Bacillota bacterium. Its description in RNAcentral is "bacterial SSU rRNA". It matches the Rfam family "Bacterial small subunit ribosomal RNA", at positions 1 to 917 of the family's 1533-position model. Lineage: Bacteria; Bacillati; Bacillota. The record is from RNAcentral.
UGGAUCCAGACUUUGAUCCUGGCUCAGGAUGAACGCUGGCGGCGUGCCUAAUACAUGCAAGUCGAACGAAACUUCUUUAUCACCGAGUGCUUGCACUCACCGAUGAAGAGUUGAGUGGCGAACGGGUGAGUAACGCGUGGGCAACCUGCCCGAAAGAGGGGGAUAACACUUGGAAACAGGUGCUAAUACCGCAUAACCAUGAACACCGCAUGGUGUUUAUGUGAAAGGUGGUUUCGGCUACCGCUUUCGGAUGGGCCCGCGGCGCAUUAGCUAGUUGGUGGGGUAAAGGCUUACCAAGGCAAUGAUGCGUAGCCGAACUGAGAGGUUGAUCGGCCACAUUGGGACUGAGACACGGCCCAAACUCCUACGGGAGGCAGCAGUAGGGAAUCUUCCACAAUGGGCGAAAGCCUGAUGGAGCAACGCCGCGUGGGUGAAGAAGGUCUUCGGAUCGUAAAACCCUGUUGUCAGAGAAGAAAGUGCAUGAGAGUAACUGUUCAUGUUUCGACGGUAUCUGACCAGAAAGCCACGGCUAACUACGUGCCAGCAGCCGCGGUAAUACGUAGGUGGCAAGCGUUAUCCGGAUUUAUUGGGCGUAAAGGGAACGCAGGCGGUCUUUUAAGUCUGAUGUGAAAGCCUUCGGCUUAACCGGAGUAGUGCAUUGGAAACUGGGAGACUUGAGUGCAGAAGAGGAGAGUGGAACUCCAUGUGUAGCGGUGGAAUGCGUAGAUAUAUGGAAGAACACCAGUGGCGAAAGCGGCUCUCUGGUCUGUAACUGACGCUGAGGUUCGAAAGCGUGGGUAGCAAACAGGAUUAGAUACCCUGGUAGUCCACGCCGUAAACGAUGAAUGCUAAGUGUUGGAGGGUUUCCGCCCUUCAGUGCUGCAGUUAACACAAUAAGCAUUCCGCCUGGGGAGUACGACCGCAAGGUUGCAACUCAAAGGAAUUGACGGA